This 378-nucleotide ribosomal RNA is filed under the name uncultured bacterium. Its description in RNAcentral is "bacterial SSU rRNA". It matches the Rfam family "Bacterial small subunit ribosomal RNA", at positions 523 to 898 of the family's 1533-position model. The record is from RNAcentral.
AUACAGAGGGUGCGAGCGUUGUUCGGAAUCACUGGGCGUAAAGCGCGCGCAGGCGGGACCUGCAAGUCGGGAGUGAAAGGCCGGGGCUCAACCCCGGAGCUGCUUUCGAGACUGCGGACCUGGAGACCAGUAGGGGUUGGUGGAAUUCCCGGUGUAGCGGUGGAAUGCGUAGAUAUCGGGAAGAACACCCGUGGCGAAGGCGACCAACUGGGCUGGAUCUGACGCUGAGGCGCGAAAGCGUGGGGAGCAAACAGGAUUAGAUACCCUGGUAGUCCACGCCGUAAACGAUGGGCACUAGGUGCCGGGGGGAGCGACCCCGUCGGUGCCGCAGCUAACGCAUUAAGUGCCCCGCCUGGGGAGUACGGCCGCAAGGCUGAA